UUUAUAUGAGAGUUUGAUCCUGGCUCAGGAUGAACGCUGGCGGCGUGCCUAAUACAUGCAAGUCGAACGAGUUCUCGUUGAUGAUCGGUGCUUGCACCGAGAUUCAACAUGGAACGAGUGGCGGACGGGUGAGUAACACGUGGGUAACCUGCCCUUAAGUGGGGGAUAACAUUUGGAAACAGAUGCUAAUACCGCAUAGAUCCAAGAACCGCAUGGUUCUUGGCUGAAAGAUGGCGUAAGCUAUCGCUUUUGGAUGGACCCGCGGCGUAUUAGCUAGUUGGUGAGGUAAUGGCUCACCAAGGCGAUGAUACGUAGCCGAACUGAGAGGUUGAUCGGCCACAUUGGGACUGAGACACGGCCC
Molecule: ribosomal RNA, 361 nt
Filed under: Lacticaseibacillus paracasei
Lineage: Bacteria; Bacillati; Bacillota; Bacilli; Lactobacillales; Lactobacillaceae
Description: bacterial SSU rRNA
Rfam family: Bacterial small subunit ribosomal RNA
Source: RNAcentral